GGGCGGAUAGCUCAGAGGUGAGAGCGCCUGCCUUACAAGCAGGAGGUCGUAGGUUCAAAUCCUGCUCCGCCCACCA
This 76-nucleotide transfer RNA is filed under the name Dictyoglomus sp. NZ13-RE01. Its description in RNAcentral is "tRNA-Val". It matches the Rfam family "tRNA". From Rfam's summary of the family: Transfer RNA (tRNA) molecules are approximately 80 nucleotides in length. Their secondary structure includes four short double-helical elements and three loops (D, anti-codon, and T loops). Further hydrogen bonds mediate the characteristic L-shaped molecular structure. tRNAs have two regions of fundamental functional importance: the anti-codon, which is responsible for specific mRNA codon recognition, and the 3' end, to which the tRNAs corresponding amino acid is attached (by aminoacyl-tRNA synthetases). tRNAs cope with the degeneracy of the genetic code in two manners: having more than one tRNA (with a specific anti-codon) for a particular amino acid; and 'wobble' base-pairing, i.e. permitting non-standard base-pairing at the 3rd anti-codon position. Lineage: Bacteria; Pseudomonadati; Dictyoglomota; Dictyoglomia; Dictyoglomales; Dictyoglomaceae. The record is from RNAcentral. RNAcentral also lists the same sequence under 2 other names.